RNAcentral lists this ribosomal RNA (461 nucleotides) under uncultured bacterium. RNAcentral's name for it is "partial 16S ribosomal RNA". It matches the Rfam family "Bacterial small subunit ribosomal RNA", at positions 338 to 795 of the family's 1533-position model. The record is from RNAcentral.
CCUACGGGGGGCUGCAGUGAGGAAUAUUGGUCAAUGGGCGCGAGCCUGAACCAGCCAAGUCGCGUGAGGGAUGACGGUCCUACGGAUUGUAAACCUCUUUUGCCGGGGAGCAAGCGUGCGUUCGUGAACGCGCGUCGAGAGUACCCGGAGAAAAAGCAUCGGCUAACUCCGUGCCAGCAGCCGCGGUAAUACGGAGGAUGCGAGCGUUAAUCGGAAUUACUGGGCGUAAAGCGCUCGUAGGCGGUAUGUCAAGUCAAGGGUGAAAUCCCCGCGCUCAACGUGGGAACUGCCUUUGAAACUGGCAAACUGGAGUGUGUGAGAGGAUAGUGGAAUUCCAGGUGUAGGAGUGAAAUCCGUAGAUAUCUGGAGGAACAUCAGUGGCGAAGGCGACUAUCUGGCACAUAACUGACGCUGAGGAGCGAAAGCGUGGGUAGCAAACAGGAUUAGAUACCCGAGUAGUC